GCAUCGGUGGUGUAAUGGUAACAUUGAAGCCUUCCAAGCUUUAGCCCCGGGUUCGAUUCCCGGCCGAUGCA
Molecule: transfer RNA, 71 nt
Organism: Cladophialophora carrionii
Lineage: Eukaryota; Fungi; Ascomycota; Eurotiomycetes; Chaetothyriales; Herpotrichiellaceae
Rfam family: tRNA
About the family: Transfer RNA (tRNA) molecules are approximately 80 nucleotides in length. Their secondary structure includes four short double-helical elements and three loops (D, anti-codon, and T loops). Further hydrogen bonds mediate the characteristic L-shaped molecular structure. tRNAs have two regions of fundamental functional importance: the anti-codon, which is responsible for specific mRNA codon recognition, and the 3' end, to which the tRNAs corresponding amino acid is attached (by aminoacyl-tRNA synthetases). tRNAs cope with the degeneracy of the genetic code in two manners: having more than one tRNA (with a specific anti-codon) for a particular amino acid; and 'wobble' base-pairing, i.e. permitting non-standard base-pairing at the 3rd anti-codon position.
Source: Rfam